RNAcentral lists this ribosomal RNA (519 nucleotides) under Salmonella enterica subsp. enterica serovar Newport. RNAcentral's name for it is "partial 23S ribosomal RNA". It matches the Rfam family "Bacterial large subunit ribosomal RNA", at positions 2164 to 2682 of the family's 2925-position model. Lineage: Bacteria; Pseudomonadati; Pseudomonadota; Gammaproteobacteria; Enterobacterales; Enterobacteriaceae. The record is from RNAcentral.
GUGGACGCCAGUCUGCAUGGAGCCGACCUUGAAAUACCACCCUUUAAUGUUUGAUGUUCUAACGUGGACCCGUGAUCCGGGUUGCGGACAGUGUCUGGUGGGUAGUUUGACUGGGGCGGUCUCCUCCUAAAGAGUAACGGAGGAGCACGAAGGUUGGCUAAUCCUGGUCGGACAUCAGGAGGUUAGUGCAAUGGCAUAAGCCAGCUUGACUGCGAGCGUGACGGCGCGAGCAGGUGCGAAAGCAGGUCAUAGUGAUCCGGUGGUUCUGAAUGGAAGGGCCAUCGCUCAACGGAUAAAAGGUACUCCGGGGAUAACAGGCUGAUACCGCCCAAGAGUUCAUAUCGACGGCGGUGUUUGGCACCUCGAUGUCGGCUCAUCACAUCCUGGGGCUGAAGUAGGUCCCAAGGGUAUGGCUGUUCGCCAUUUAAAGUGGUACGCGAGCUGGGUUUAGAACGUCGUGAGACAGUUCGGUCCCUAUCUGCCGUGGGCGCUGGAGAACUGAGGGGGGCUGCUCCUAGU